This is a non-coding RNA of Hydra vulgaris (swiftwater hydra), 469 nucleotides long. NCBI's taxonomy places the organism in Eukaryota, Metazoa, Cnidaria, Hydrozoa, Anthoathecata, Hydridae. The record is from RefSeq and is a predicted model, not a curated record.
UAGGGGCCCUUUUACAAAUGUAAGAAUUUUUUUUUUUUAGGAUUUUUAUUUAGAUUUUGUUUAUCUAUUGGAAAAGUUUUUAGGAAUUUUGGGGCCCUUAUGACAGGUUUUUUUUUGGAAUGGGGGACUUGUAUCUAGUUGCCACGGCACUGUAUAUAAGUAACUAAAGGAAUGUUAUCAAUUUAUUAUAUGAAUCAUAAACAUGUGCUUAUCUAUUACAAAUACCUUUGAUGGUGAAAAUUACAUUUUUUGUCUGAAGAGAGUUAGGAGAAAUUUUCAUAUUGAAACGAGAUAUUGUGUAAAGAGGUUUUCAAAGAAGUCGUUUCAACAACAACGGAAAAGCUUCCGAUUCGCAAGAUAACCGUGAAAGCAUUCGAUACAUGAUUAAAGAAUCGUUUAAUAUUUUGCUUAGUUUGGACAGUGUAGUUUUAAUUACUAUUUUUUUGAAAUAAAUCAAUCAAUUUAUAUA